Molecule: long non-coding RNA, 313 nt
Organism: Cervus elaphus (red deer)
Lineage: Eukaryota; Metazoa; Chordata; Mammalia; Artiodactyla; Cervidae
Exons: 3
Source: RefSeq, a predicted model, not a curated record
UAAGCAGAGUGACAAUAUACAGCCUUGCUGCACUCCUUUCCCAAUUUUAAUCCAGUCUGUUUUUCCAUGUCCACUUCAAAUCGUUGCUUCUUAACCUACAUAUAAGUUUCUCAGGAGGCAGGUAAUGUGGUCUGCUAGUCCCAUCUCUUUAAGGAUUUUGCAGUUUGUUGUGAUCCACAGAGUUAAAGGCAUUAGUGUAGUCAGUGAAACAGAAGUAGAUGUUUUACUGGAACUCUCUUGCUUUUUUGAUGAUCCAGCAGAUGUUGGCAAUUUGAUCUCUGGUUCCCCUACCUUUUCUAAAACCAGUUUGAAC